GGUCGUAAUUCCAAUUCCAAGAGGCUCUUGGGUUAUGUGGCAACUCUGAAAGAUAAUUUUGGAUUUAUUGAAACAGCCAAUCAUGAUAAGGAAAUAUUUUUCCAUUAUAGUGAAUUCUCUGGUGAUGUUGAUAGCCUGGAACUGGGGGACAUGGUUGAGUACAGCUUGUCCAAAGGCAAAGGCAACAAAGUCAGCGCUGAAAA
This is a non-coding RNA of Heterocephalus glaber (naked mole-rat), 203 nucleotides long. The record is from RefSeq and is a predicted model, not a curated record. Lineage: Eukaryota; Metazoa; Chordata; Mammalia; Rodentia; Bathyergidae.